Long non-coding RNA from Morone saxatilis (striped sea-bass), 1533 nucleotides. RefSeq lists it as uncharacterized. NCBI's taxonomy places the organism in Eukaryota, Metazoa, Chordata, Actinopteri, Moronidae. The transcript has 3 exons. The record is from RefSeq and is a predicted model, not a curated record.
UGACCAAAGUGCUGUACGUACGUCAGUUAUUUUUAUAGUGUGGUAAGCCAAUUACAAUAAUUAUUGAUAAUACAUCCGUCACAAAGUGUAAAUGACACAAGGAAUUGUUUUAUAUUUCACAGCAGGACAUUUGACAUGAAACAGUAAACACCAGACAUGCUCACAAACACCUUCUUAUUUAAGUUUUUAUUAAGAUUAAAACCUUAAAAGGAUUCAGAAACAAUGAUAUAAUUUCUUGGAACAGGUUUUCCCCUAGUGGUUAUGUUUUGUAAAUGCCCAAAUACGGACCGGAUCUAAUGGCGUUUAUUUUUUACAUAGCUGAACUGAAUUUUUCUGUGGCUGCAAAUUUACCCCAACAAAGUUAUCUCAUCAGGACACUUUUCAAAUAGCACAGGUCUAUAUCCUACUCCUUAUAAGAUUAUUUACAGAGACCCAACAGUUCCCACCAUAGGCAAGCACUUGGCGACAGCGUCAAGGAAAGACUUUUUUUUUCUCAGGAUGAUGAAGUUAUGACCCACCUUACUGUGCCUCUGAUGGGCUAGUGUUCAUAGCAAAGAACACCAUAAAUGAGAUAACGUAACUUGGAUGUGCCUGGUCACAUGUUUCCACCCAAAAGACCAGAUCAUUAAGCAGAUCAUGACCGCAAGUGUUUUCUUCGACCAAAUGCCAACAAAGCCGAUGUCAAACCUGGAGUAGAUAAAAGUAUAGAAGUGCUGUUGAAAGUGAUUUGACUUUUAAAACUAAGAUUGAAUGUUUUCUGUGUUUAAUAUCUGGAAGUUCCCAGCACUGAAGAACCCCACACAGAUGUUCUUCCUGUUGUUCGGAUCAUAGUCGGGGUCGUGGGGUUGAUCACUGGUACGCUGAUAGUGGUCCUGUGCGAGAGAGGCUUGAUCGGGUGUAAAAACAGGGACUCCUCCGUAGAUCCAGACAACCAAAACGCCAGCCCAGACGAAGACGACAACGCCCUGUGGAAUGUGGAGGAAGCAGUGUGACGUUCCAUCAGAGUACGAAGCCUCAGUGUGCAGUUUGAAACCAGAAUUACAAUUAAAACUAACAUCAUUGCUCAUGCACUGUAAUCCGAAACUGUUGGAACUGUUACAUUGAAAAGAAAAAGUAACACAAGCUCAAUUUUUUAAGUUGAAAAAGAUUCUUGAUUGAACAGCUUUUUACAGUAAGUAUAUAUAUUUUUAUAUCUGUUUACUGUUUUAUAUGGCUGCACCUGUAUAUGCAGUUAUAGUUGUCUUUUGUUUGUUCAUAUCUAUUGUUGUUGUAAAUAAAAUAUGAAUCAUAAAAACAAAUAUAUGGACACAAUAAGUCUCAAACUUUGUUCAGUAAUGUUUCUCCUGACCAGCGAUGAUAUCGACCAGGUGAUACAAUAACUAAUAAACAAUAAUUGACUCAUUCUCUCCAAAUGUAAAUCAGCUGACUUACUGUCAACACUUAAAUAAAUGCUUGAUUGCAAGAUAAAACCUCUGAUUUAUUGAUUUAGAUGAGUUGGAACUAGUUAAUUUCAUUGAAUAACCAAACCAAUUU